UUGACAAGCUGUAACUUGUCUGUGAAAUGC
This 30-nucleotide non-coding RNA is filed under the name Rattus norvegicus (Norway rat). Lineage: Eukaryota; Metazoa; Chordata; Mammalia; Rodentia; Muridae. The record is from RNAcentral.